RNAcentral lists this ribosomal RNA (208 nucleotides) under uncultured bacterium. RNAcentral's name for it is "partial 16S ribosomal RNA". It matches the Rfam family "Bacterial small subunit ribosomal RNA", at positions 1293 to 1500 of the family's 1533-position model. The record is from RNAcentral.
UCGGAUUGCAGUCUGCAACUCGACUGCAUGAAGCCGGAAUCGCUAGUAAUCGCGGAUCAGAAUGCCGCGGUGAAUACGUUCCCGGGUCUUGUACACACCGCCCGUCACACCAUGGGAGUCGGGAAUGCCCGAAGCCGGUGACCCAACCGAAGGGAGGGAGCCGUCGAAGGCAGGUCUGAUAACUGGGGUGAAGUCGUAACAAGGUAGC